RNAcentral lists this ribosomal RNA (638 nucleotides) under Lentinula edodes (shiitake mushroom). RNAcentral's name for it is "eukaryotic LSU rRNA". The stretch from base 215 to 368 matches the Rfam family "5.8S ribosomal RNA". Lineage: Eukaryota; Fungi; Basidiomycota; Agaricomycetes; Agaricales; Omphalotaceae. The record is from RNAcentral.
UGCUGGCCUUUGGGUAUGUGCACAUCCUCCUCCGAUUUCUAUUCAUCCACCUGUGCACUUUUUGUAGGAGUUCUUUCAUCGGGUUUUUGAAGGUGCUCAUUAUGAGUUACUUGAAAAGACUAGUUGACAAGGCUUCUAUGUUCUUAUAAACCAUUGAAGUAUGUUAUAGAAUGAUCUUGUUAUUGGGACUUUAUUGACCCUUUAAACUUAAUACAACUUUCAGCAACGGAUCUCUUGGCUCUCCCAUCGAUGAAGAACGCAGCGAAAUGCGAUAAGUAAUGUGAAUUGCAGAAUUCAGUGAAUCAUCGAAUCUUUGAACGCACCUUGCGCCCUCUGGUAUUCCGGAGGGCAUGCCUGUUUGAGUGUCAUUAAAUUCUCAACUUUAUAAGUUUUUUACUUAUUAAAGCUUGGAUGUUGGAGGCUUGCAGGCGUUUGUCAGCUCCUCUUAAAUUUAUUAGUGGGAACCCUGUUUUGUUAGUUCUAACCUUGGUGUGAUAAUUAUCUACAUUUUGGUGGAACCUUACAAUAAUAAAGCUCUAUUGGUUUGGGUUGUUGCAUUUAGUUUGCUCAAUCUGUUCUAUUCAUUGGAGAAAAAGGGAAGUUCCGCUUUCUAACUGUCUUGAUUGACUAUAUAUAAC